UACGUAGGGGGCAAGCGUUAUCCGGAUUUACUGGGUGUAGAGGGAGCGUAGACGGCAGCGCAAGUCUGGAGUGAAAUGCCGGGGCCCAACCCCGGAACUGCUUUGGAAACUGUGCAGCUCGAGUGCAGGAGAGGUAAGCGGAAUUCCUAGUGUAGCGGUGAAAUGCGUAGAUAUUAGGAGGAACACCAGUGGCGAAGGCGGCUUACUGGACUGUAACUGACGUUGAGGCUCGAAAGCGUGGGGAGCAAACAGG
Molecule: ribosomal RNA, 253 nt
Filed under: uncultured bacterium
Lineage: Bacteria
Description: partial 16S ribosomal RNA
Rfam family: Bacterial small subunit ribosomal RNA
Source: RNAcentral